RNAcentral lists this non-coding RNA (29 nucleotides) under Cricetulus griseus (Chinese hamster). Lineage: Eukaryota; Metazoa; Chordata; Mammalia; Rodentia; Cricetidae. The record is from RNAcentral.
UAACAUGAAGGGUUGAUUCUAAGAGCAGC